This 314-nucleotide unclassified non-coding RNA is filed under the name plant metagenome. Its description in RNAcentral is "partial contains 5.8S ribosomal RNA, internal transcribed spacer 2, and large subunit ribosomal RNA". The stretch from base 1 to 105 matches the Rfam family "5.8S ribosomal RNA", at positions 50 to 154 of the family's 154-position model. The record is from RNAcentral.
GAAAUGCGAUAAUUAAUGUGAAUUGCAGAAUUCAGUGAAUCAUCGAGUCUUUUAACGCACAUUGCGCCCCCUGGUAUUCCGGGGGGCAUGCCUGUCCGAGCGUCAUUGCUGCCCUCAAGCACGGCUUGUGUGUUGGGCUUCCGUCCCUGGCAACGGGGACGGGCCCAAAAGGCAGUGGCGGCACCAUGUCUGGUCCUCGAGCGUAUGGGGCUUUGUCACCCGCUCCCGUAGGUCCAGCUGGCAGCUAGCCUCGCAACCAAUCUUUUUAACCAGGUUGACCUCGGAUCAGGUAGGGAUACCCGCUGAACUUAAGC